UUCUUAUUGGAUAAUAACUGGAUCAUGUUCUGAUUGGAUAUCAACUCCAUAAAGGAUAAAAUGCAUUAUUAUUUUCAUUGACCAAUUAGAACAUGACAUGUGACAGUCAUCAUCU
Molecule: non-coding RNA, 115 nt
Organism: Glycine soja
Lineage: Eukaryota; Viridiplantae; Streptophyta; Magnoliopsida; Fabales; Fabaceae
Source: Rfam